GAUGAAGAACGUAGCGAAAUGCGAUAAGUAAUGUGAAUUGCAGAAUUCAGUGAAUCAUCGAAUCUUUGAACGCACCUUGCGCUCCUUGGCAUUCCGAAGAGCAUGCCUGUUUGAGUGUCAUUAAAUUCUCAAGACCUGUCUGCUUUUUUGAUAGGUAUUGGAUUUUGGGGGUUGCAGGCUGUUUCAAAUAAAUAGCCUUGCUCUCCUUGAAUGUAUUAGUGGAGAAAAGCCAUUGAACUCCAUUGGUGUGAUAAAACCUAUCAAUGCCAGGAGCAAUAUCACUACUUCUCUCUGCUGUCUAACUGUGACUGUCUGUAUUAAUUAGUAUGGAUGGGGACAACUUGACCAACUUGACCUCAAAUCAGGUAGGACUACCCGCUGAACUUAAGCAUAUCAAUAAGCGGAGGA
Molecule: unclassified non-coding RNA, 408 nt
Filed under: soil metagenome
Description: partial contains 5.8S ribosomal RNA, internal transcribed spacer 2, and large subunit ribosomal RNA
Rfam family: 5.8S ribosomal RNA (bases 1-120)
Source: RNAcentral